AGUGGCGUAACCAUUAUGCUCUGCCAGACCUGUGAGGCAGCCAUUUUAUCUUCUUGCUUGUUUUGGGAGCACUGGCUUCUUGAAUGCUGACUUUAGUAACAGAAAUGCAUGCUUAAUGGGAUUCAAGUUAGGUGACUGACUUGGAUGGUCACGAGCAUUCCACAGUUGCUGUAAGAUGCUUCUUAACAUUUCAGGAUUCAUAAUUUUGCUGUCGUUAGCAGUCAGAUCUUCCAAAAGGUGUUGUCACAACGUAGGUUUACAGAAAUGAGCUUUAAAGAGAAUCCAGGUCCAGGCCCACAGGAAGCAAGCCAAAAGCGACACUGGCAAGGAAAUACUCCCUAAGCAAUAGAGGAAGAAAUCUUGAGCGGGUCCAUUGCGUACAAGGGGAACCCAUCCACUUCUGAUUGGCACCAGACAGAAAGCUAACCACACAGAAUAAAUAAAGCUUCUUUUAGCAAGAAACAUUUAA
Long non-coding RNA from Electrophorus electricus (electric eel), 469 nucleotides. RefSeq lists it as uncharacterized. The record is from RefSeq and is a predicted model, not a curated record. NCBI's taxonomy places the organism in Eukaryota, Metazoa, Chordata, Actinopteri, Gymnotiformes, Gymnotidae.